GCGCGAAACCUCCGCAAUGCGGGAAACCGCGACGGGGGGACCCCGAGUGCCGUGGCAACGCCACGGCUUUUCCGGAGUGUAAAAAGCUCCGGGAAUAAGGGCUGGGCAAGGCCGGUGGCAGCCGCCGCGGUAAUACCGGCGGCCCGAGUGGUGGCCGCUAUUAUUGGGCCUAAAGCGUCCGUAGCCGGGCCCGUAAGUCCCUGGCGAAAUCCCACGGCUCAACCGUGGGGCUUGCUGGGGAUACUGCGGGUCUUGGGACCGGGAGAGGCGGGGGGUACCCCUGGGGUAGGGGUGAAAUCCUAUAAUCCCAGGGGGACCGCCAGUGGCGAAGGCGCCCCGCUGGAACGGGUCCGACGGUGAGGGACGAAGGCCAGGGGAGCAAACCGGAUUAGAUACCCGGGUAGUCCUGGCUGUAAAGGAUGCGGGCUAGGUGUCGGGUGAGCCUCGAGCUCGCCCGGUGCCGUUGGGAAGCCGUUAAGCCCGCCGCCUGGGGAGUACGGCCGCAAGGCUGAAACU
Molecule: ribosomal RNA, 516 nt
Filed under: uncultured Thermococcus sp.
Lineage: Archaea; Methanobacteriati; Methanobacteriota; Thermococci; Thermococcales; Thermococcaceae
Description: bacterial SSU rRNA
Rfam family: Archaeal small subunit ribosomal RNA
Source: RNAcentral